AUGGAGCCGACCUUGAAAUACCACCCUUUAAUGUUUGAUGUUCUAACGUUGACCCGUAAUCCGGGUUGCGGACAGUGUCUGGUGGGUAGUUUGACUGGGGCGGUCUCCUCCUAAAGAGUAACGGAGGAGCACGAAGGUUGGCUAAUCCUGGUCGGACAUCAGGAGGUUAGUGCAAUGGCAUAAGCCAGCUUGACUGCGAGCGUGACGGCGCGAGCAGGUGCGAAAGCAGGUCAUAGUGAUCCGGUGGUUCUGAAUGGAAGGGCCAUCGCUCAACGGAUAAAAGGUACUCCGGGGAUAACAGGCUGAUACCGCCCAAGAGUUCAUAUCGACGGCGGUGUUUGGCACCUCGAUGUCGGCUCAUCACAUCCUGGGGCUGAAGUAGGUCCCAAGGGUAUGGCUGUUCGCCAUUUAAAGUGGUACGCGAGCUGGGUUUAGAACGUCGUGAGACAGUUCGGUCCCUAUCUGCCGUGGGCGCUGGAGAACUGAGGGGGGCUGCUCCUAGUACGAGAGGACCGGAGUGGACGCAUCACUGGUGUUCGGGUUGUCAUGCCAAUGGCACUGCCCGGUAGCUAAAUGCGGAAGAGAUAAGUGCUGAAAGCAUCUAAGCACGAAACUUGCCCCGAGAUGAGUUCUCCCUGACUCCUUGAGAGUCCUGAAGGAACGUUGAAGACGACGACGUUGAUAGGCCGGGUGUGUAAGCGCAGCGAUGCGUUGAGCUAACCGGUACUAAUGAACCGUGAGGCUUAACCU
This 750-nucleotide ribosomal RNA is filed under the name Escherichia coli. RNAcentral describes it as "partial 23S ribosomal RNA". It matches the Rfam family "Bacterial large subunit ribosomal RNA", at positions 2180 to 2925 of the family's 2925-position model. The record is from RNAcentral. Lineage: Bacteria; Pseudomonadati; Pseudomonadota; Gammaproteobacteria; Enterobacterales; Enterobacteriaceae.